UGGCUCAGUUGUUAGAGCAUGGUGUUUGCAACGCCAGGGUUGUGGGUUUGAUUCCCAC
This 58-nucleotide transfer RNA is filed under the name Salmo salar (Atlantic salmon). It matches the Rfam family "tRNA", at positions 8 to 63 of the family's 71-position model. Rfam says of the family: Transfer RNA (tRNA) molecules are approximately 80 nucleotides in length. Their secondary structure includes four short double-helical elements and three loops (D, anti-codon, and T loops). RNAcentral also lists the same sequence under 1 other name. Lineage: Eukaryota; Metazoa; Chordata; Actinopteri; Salmoniformes; Salmonidae. The record is from Rfam by way of RNAcentral.